RNAcentral lists this ribosomal RNA (589 nucleotides) under Sordariales sp. Its description in RNAcentral is "SSU rRNA". It matches the Rfam family "Eukaryotic small subunit ribosomal RNA", at positions 95 to 687 of the family's 1831-position model. Lineage: Eukaryota; Fungi; Ascomycota; Sordariomycetes; Sordariales. The record is from RNAcentral.
GGCUCAUUAAAUCAGUUAUCGUUUAUUUGAUAGUACCUUACUACAAGGAUAACCGUGGUAAUUCUAGAGCUAAUACUUGCACAAAAUCCCGACUUCGGAAGGGAUGUAUUUAUUANAUUAAAAACCAAUGCCCUCCGGGGCUCACUGGUGAUUCAUGAUAACUUUUCGAAUCGCAUGGCCUUGCGCCGGCGAUGGUUCAUUCAAAUUUCUGCCCUAUCAACUUUCGACGGCUGGGUCUUGGCCAGCCGUGGUGACAACGGGUAACGGAGAGUUAGGGCUCGACUCCGGAGAAGGAGCCUGAGAAACGGCUACUACAUCCAAGGAAGGCAGCAGGCGCGCAAAUUACCCAAUGACGACACGUCGAGGUAGUGACAAUAAAUACUGAUACAGGGCUCUUUUGGGUCUUGUAAUUGGAAUGAGUACAAUUUAAAUCCCUUAACGAGGAACAAUUGGAGGGCAAGUCUGGUGCCAGCAGCCGCGGUAAUUCCAGCUCCAAUAGCGUAUAUUAAAGUUGUUGCGGUUAAAAAGCUCGUAGUUGAACCUUGGGCCUGGCUGGCCGGUCCGCCUCACCGCGUGCACUGGUCCGGCC